GAAUAUUAAAAAUGGAGGUA
This 20-nucleotide microRNA is filed under the name Tribolium castaneum (red flour beetle). RNAcentral's name for it is "tca-miR-3803-5p". The record is from miRBase by way of RNAcentral. Lineage: Eukaryota; Metazoa; Arthropoda; Insecta; Coleoptera; Tenebrionidae.